Molecule: ribosomal RNA, 405 nt
Filed under: uncultured bacterium
Lineage: Bacteria
Description: bacterial SSU rRNA
Rfam family: Bacterial small subunit ribosomal RNA
Source: RNAcentral
AACGAACGUUAGCGGCGCGCUUAACACAUGCAAGUCGCACGAGAAAGGGCUUCGGCCCCGGUAAAGUGGCGCACGGGUGAGUAACACGUGGGUAAUCUGCCCUCGAGCGGGGGAUAACAUCUCGAAAGGGAUGCUAAUACCGCAUAAGACCACAGCCUCGAAAGAGGCAGCGGUCAAAGCAGGCCUCUGUAUACAAGCCUGCACUUGAGGAUGAGCCCCGCGGCCCAUCAGCUAGUUGGCAGGGUAACGGCCUACCAAGGCGACGACGGGUAGCUGGUCUGAGAGGAUGAUCAGCCACACUGGAACUGAGACACGGUCCAGACUCCUACGGGAGGCAGCAGUGGGGAAUCUUGCGCAAUGGGCGAAAGCCUGACGCAGCGACGCCGCGUGGGUGAUGAAGGCCUC